GAUGAACGCUGGCGGCGUGCUUAACACAUGCAAGUCGAACGGAAACAGGAUGAAGCCUAGCGAUUCCUGUUUUAGUGGCGGACGGGUGAGUAACGCGUGGGUAACCUGCCUUACACUGGGGGAUAACAGUUAGAAAUAGCUGCUAAUACCGCAUAAGCGCACAGGGCCGCAUGGCCUGGUGUGAGAAACUCCGGUGGUGUAAGAUGGACCCGCGUCUGAUUAGCUAGUUGGUGAGGUAACGGCCCACCAAGGCGACGAUCAGUAGCCGGCCUGAGAGGGUGAACGGCCACAUUGGGACUGAGACACGGCCCAAACUCCUACGGGAGGCAGCAGUGGGGAAUAUUGCACAAUGGGGGAAACCCUGAUGCAGCGACGCCGCGUGAGUGAAGAAGUAUUUCGGUAUGUAAAGCUCUAUCAGCAAGGAAGAAAAUGACGGUACUUGACUAAGAAGCCCCGGCUAACUACGUGCCAGCCGCCGCGGUAA
This 484-nucleotide ribosomal RNA is filed under the name uncultured bacterium. RNAcentral describes it as "partial 16S ribosomal RNA". It matches the Rfam family "Bacterial small subunit ribosomal RNA", at positions 28 to 523 of the family's 1533-position model. The record is from RNAcentral.